AACACCUGGGGAUCUUAUUAAAAUGCAUGUUUUAAUUCUGUAAGUCUGGAUUGGGGCCUGAGAUUCUGCAUUCCUAAUAAGCUCCCAAGUGCUGCUGC
Macaca mulatta (Rhesus monkey) is the source of this 98-nucleotide non-coding RNA. NCBI's taxonomy places the organism in Eukaryota, Metazoa, Chordata, Mammalia, Primates, Cercopithecidae. The record is from Rfam.